Molecule: long non-coding RNA, 618 nt
Organism: Microplitis demolitor
Lineage: Eukaryota; Metazoa; Arthropoda; Insecta; Hymenoptera; Braconidae
Exons: 3
Source: RefSeq, a predicted model, not a curated record
CUUAAAAUGUCACAAUUCCUGGGUUGGUUGCUUAAUCUUUUCAUUUAUAUUAAAUACCACAAAUAUGUGAUAAUUUAAUAUAAUUUUCUUUUUUUUUUGUUUUAUAAACUACUCGCUGUCAUAUUUAGUCAGUCACUUGUAUAUACAACACUAAACAUUUAUAUAAUAAAUAUAUUUUAAUAAUAAUUAUAGUUUAAUAAACGUUUAAAGUAAUUAACGUUUAAUUAAUAAUCUAAUUAAGUGAAUGGGUCAAAGUGAAUCUCAUUAAUGUAAUUAAAAAUACAUGUGAUUUAAUAAAAAAAAAUGCAUAAAUGAUAAUAAAACAAUAUAGAUAAAUAAUAAUGCAGUCGGUCAGUGAUAAUCUUUCAUUUGUAACUUUCUCCGAGAGAAUAAUGGAGUCCGAGUACUUGGAGACGUCUUGGAAAAAUAGACUGCAAUUUUUAAAAAGACGAAUUGUUUAUUUUAUAAGAGAAGUUACCAGUAGAUAUGGAAAGAAAAAAGGAUACUCGAAAUUUCUAACUGAUGAAGAAAAAAGAUGGCUGGCUAAUGCCGAGUAUGAUUUAUCAACUAGAGCCAGUAUUCCAUACAGUUUUUGAUACAUUACUUAAUAAAUGGAAG